GAUGAACGCUGGCGGCGUGCCUAAUACAUGCAAGUCGAGCGAACAGACGAGGAGCUUGCUCCUCUGACGUUCGCGGCGGACGGGUGAGUAACACGUGGAUAACCUACCUAUAAGACUGGGAUAACUUCGGGAAACCGGAGCUAAUACCGGAUAACAUGUUGAACCGCAUGGUUCAACAGUGAAAGACGGUCUUGCUGUCACUUAUAGAUGGAUCCGCGCCGCAUUAGCUAGUUGGUAAGGUAACGGCUUACCAAGGCAACGAUGCGUAGCCGACCUGAGAGGGUGAUCGGCCACACUGGAACUGAGACACGGUCCAGACUCCUACGGGAGGCAGCAGUAGGGAAUCUUCCGCAAUGGGCGAAAGCCUGACGGAGCAACGCCGCGUGAGUGAAGAAGGUCUUCGGAUCGUAAAACUCUGUUAUUAGGGAAGAACAAAUGUGUAAGUAACUAUGCACGUCUUGACGGUACCUAAUCAGAAAGCCACGGCUAACUACGUG
This 497-nucleotide ribosomal RNA is filed under the name uncultured bacterium. RNAcentral's name for it is "partial 16S ribosomal RNA". It matches the Rfam family "Bacterial small subunit ribosomal RNA", at positions 28 to 507 of the family's 1533-position model. The record is from RNAcentral.